Molecule: ribosomal RNA, 453 nt
Rfam family: Eukaryotic large subunit ribosomal RNA (bases 361-453)
GGCUCACACAACGAUGAAGGACGCAGCGAAUUGCGAUACGCAUUAUGACUUGCAGACUUCUGUGAUUUAACAGACCUCCGAACGUAACCAACACACCGCCUCUGCUCGCACGCGGUACUCCCGUUUCAGUGAGCCCCCUUUUCUGGGGCCUUGCCUUUUUGGCAGCCUUGCGAGUGGGUGGUUGUGCCGCCCGAUUGCGUGGAGGAGUUGGCUGGCCAAGGUCGUGGCUGUGGUUCUACUCUGUGGAGCUGCGGCCAUUUGCCUCGAAGCAUUUUGUGUAUGUGAUACCGAAUCUUCUGCGAGGCUGUUGGGCUCUGCCCAAGACUGCGGUGAGCCGUCUGACUCCGUGUCAUCUAUUCCGCUCCUGAAAUCGGGUGAGGCUAUCCGCUGAAUUUAAGCAUAUAAUUAAGCGGCAGAAAAGAAAAUAACCAUGAUUCCCUUAGUAACGGCGAG